This 2736-nucleotide ribosomal RNA is filed under the name Klebsiella oxytoca. RNAcentral's name for it is "bacterial LSU rRNA". It matches the Rfam family "Bacterial large subunit ribosomal RNA". Lineage: Bacteria; Pseudomonadati; Pseudomonadota; Gammaproteobacteria; Enterobacterales; Enterobacteriaceae. The record is from RNAcentral.
AACGAGGCGAACCGGGGGAACUGAAACAUCUAAGUACCCCGAGGAAAAGAAAUCAACCGAGAUUCCCCCAGUAGCGGCGAGCGAACGGGGAGCAGCCCGGAGUCUGAAUCAGCUUGUGUGUUAGUGGAAGCGUCUGGAAAGUCGCAGGGUACAGGGUGAUACUCCCGUACACUAAAAUGCACAGGUUGUGAACUCGAAGAGUAGGGCGGGACACGUGGUAUCCUGUCUGAAUAUGGGGGGACCAUCCUCCAAGGCUAAAUACUCCUGACUGACCGAUAGUGAACCAGUACCGUGAGGGAAAGGCGAAAAGAACCCCGGCGAGGGGAGUGAAAAAGAACCUGAAACCGUGUACGUACAAGCAGUAGGAGCCCACUUGUUGGGUGACUGCGUACCUUUUGUAUAAUGGGUCAGCGACUUAUAUUCUGUAGCAAGGUUAACCGUAUAGGGGAGCCGCAGGGAAACCGAGUCUUAACUGGGCGUUAAGUUGCAGGGUAUAGACCCGAAACCCGGUGAUCUAGCCAUGGGCAGGUUGAAGGUUGGGUAACACUAACUGGAGGACCGAACCGACUAAUGUUGAAAAAUUAGCGGAUGACUUGUGGCUGGGGGUGAAAGGCCAAUCAAACCGGGAGAUAGCUGGUUCUCCCCGAAAGCUAUUUAGGUAGCGCCUCGUGAACUCAUCUUCGGGGGUAGAGCACUGUUUCGGCUAGGGGGUCAUCCCGACUUACCAACCCGAUGCAAACUACGAAUACCGAAGAAUGUUAUCACGGGAGACACACGGCGGGUGCUAACGUCCGUCGUGAAGAGGGAAACAACCCAGACCGCCAGCUAAGGUCCCAAAGUCAUGGUUAAGUGGGAAACGAUGUGGGAAGGCCCAGACAGCCAGGAUGUUGGCUUAGAAGCAGCCAUCAUUUAAAGAAAGCGUAAUAGCUCACUGGUCGAGUCGGCCUGCGCGGAAGAUGUAACGGGGCUAAACCAUGCACCGAAGCUGCGGCAGCGACGCUUAUGCGUUGUUGGGUAGGGGAGCGUUCUGUAAGCCGUUGAAGGUGGCCUGUGAGGGUUGCUGGAGGUAUCAGAAGUGCGAAUGCUGACAUAAGUAACGAUAAUGCGGGUGAAAAACCCGCACGCCGGAAGACCAAGGGUUCCUGUCCAACGUUAAUCGGGGCAGGGUGAGUCGACCCCUAAGGCGAGGCCGAAAGGCGUAGUCGAUGGGAAACAGGUUAAUAUUCCUGUACUCGGUGUUACUGCGAAGGGGGGACGGAGAAGGCUAUGUUGGCCGGGCGACGGUUGUCCCGGUUUAAGCAUGUAGGCGGAUGUUCCAGGUAAAUCCGGAACGUCACUAACGCUGAGGUGUGAUGACGAGGCACUACGGUGCUGAAGUGACAAAUGCCCUGCUUCCAGGAAAAGCCUCUAAGCAUCAGGUAACAUCAAAUCGUACCCCAAACCGACACAGGUGGUCAGGUAGAGAAUACCAAGGCGCUUGAGAGAACUCGGGUGAAGGAACUAGGCAAAAUGGUGCCGUAACUUCGGGAGAAGGCACGCUGAUGGUAGGUGAAGUGACUUGCUCAUGGAGCUGAAAUCAGUCGAAGAUACCAGCUGGCUGCAACUGUUUAUUAAAAACACAGCACUGUGCAAACACGAAAGUGGACGUAUACGGUGUGACGCCUGCCCGGUGCCGGAAGGUUAAUUGAUGGGGUUAUCCGUAAGGAGAAGCUCUUGAUCGAAGCCCCGGUAAACGGCGGCCGUAACUAUAACGGUCCUAAGGUAGCGAAAUUCCUUGUCGGGUAAGUUCCGACCUGCACGAAUGGCGUAAUGAUGGCCAGGCUGUCUCCACCCGAGACUCAGUGAAAUUGAACUCGCUGUGAAGAUGCAGUGUACCCGCGGCAAGACGGAAAGACCCCGUGAACCUUUACUAUAGCUUGACACUGAACACUGGUCCUUGAUGUGUAGGAUAGGUGGGAGGCUUUGAAGUGUGGACGCCAGUCUGCAUGGAGCCAUCCUUGAAAUACCACCCUUUAAUGGCUGGUGUUCUAACGUGGGCCCGUAAUCCGGGUUGCGGACAGUGUCUGGUGGGUAGUUUGACUGGGGCGGUCUCCUCCUAAAGAGUAACGGAGGAGCACGAAGGUCAGCUAAUCCUGGUCGGACAUCAGGAGGUUAGUGCAAUGGCAUAAGCUGGCUUGACUGCGAGCGUGACGGCGCGAGCAGGUGCGAAAGCAGGUCAUAGUGAUCCGGUGGUUCUGAAUGGAAGGGCCAUCGCUCAACGGAUAAAAGGUACUCCGGGGAUAACAGGCUGAUACCGCCCAAGAGUUCAUAUCGACGGCGGUGUUUGGCACCUCGAUGUCGGCUCAUCACAUCCUGGGGCUGAAGUAGGUCCCAAGGGUAUGGCUGUUCGCCAUUUAAAGUGGUACGCGAGCUGGGUUUAGAACGUCGUGAGACAGUUCGGUCCCUAUCUGCCGUGGGCGCUGGAGAAUUGAGGGGGGCUGCUCCUAGUACGAGAGGACCGGAGUGGACGCAUCACUGGUGUUCGGGUUGUCAUGCCAAUGGCAUUGCCCGGUAGCUAAAUGCGGAAGAGAUAAGUGCUGAAAGCAUCUAAGCACGAAACUUGCCCCGAGAUGAGUUCUCCCUGACUCCUUGAGAGUCCUGAAGGAACGUUGAAGACGACGACGUUGAUAGGCCGGGUGUGUAAGCGCAGCGAUGCGUUGAGCUAACCGGUACUAAUGAACCGUGAGGCUUAACCUU